Molecule: ribosomal RNA, 484 nt
Filed under: uncultured bacterium
Lineage: Bacteria
Description: bacterial SSU rRNA
Rfam family: Bacterial small subunit ribosomal RNA
Source: RNAcentral
AGAGUUUGAUUAUGGCUCAGGAUGAACGCUGGCGGCGUGCCUAACACAUGCAAGUCGAGCGAUUCACUUCGGUGAAGAGCGGCGGACGGGUGAGUAACGCGUGGGUAACCUGCCUCAUACACAUGGAUAACAUACCGAAAGGUAUGCUAAUACAGGAUAAUAUAAGAGAUUCACAUGUAUUUCUUGUCAAAGCUCCGGCGGUAUGAGAUGGACCCGCGUCUGAUUAGUUAGUUGGUAAGGUAACGGCUUACCAAGGCGACGAUCAGUAGCCGACCUGAGAGGGUGAUCGGCCACAUUGGAACUGAGACACGGUCCAAACUCCUACGGGAGGCAGCAGUGGGGAAUAUUGCACAAUGGGCGAAAGCCUGAUGCAAGCAACGCCGCGUGAGUGAUGAAGGCCUUCGGGUCGUAAAACUCUGUCCUCAAGGAAGAUAAUGACGGUACUUGAGGAGGAAGCCCCGGCUAACUACGUGCCAGCAGCAGC